This 497-nucleotide ribosomal RNA is filed under the name uncultured bacterium. RNAcentral describes it as "partial 16S ribosomal RNA". It matches the Rfam family "Bacterial small subunit ribosomal RNA", at positions 28 to 507 of the family's 1533-position model. The record is from RNAcentral.
GAUGAACGCUGGCGGCGUGCCUAAUACAUGCAAGUCGAGCGAACGGACGAGAAGCUUGCUUCUCUGAUGUUAGCGGCGGACGGGUGAGUAACACGUGGAUAACCUACCUAUAAGACUGGGAUAACUUCGGGAAACCGUAGCUAAUACCGGAUAAUAUUUUGAACCGCAUGGUUCAAAAGUGAAAGACGGUCUUGCUGUCACUUAUAGAUGGAUCCGCGCUGCAUUAGCUAGUUGGUAAGGUAACGGCUUACCAAGGCAACGAUGCAUAGCCGACCUGAGAGGGUGAUCGGACACACUGGAACUGAGACACGGUCAAGAAUCCUACGGGAGGCAGCAGUAGGGAAUCUUCCGCAAUGGGCGAAAGCAUGACGGAGCAACGCCGCGUGAGAGAUGAAGGUCUUCGGAUCGUAAAACUCUGUUAUGAGGGAAGAACAUAUGUGUAAGUAACUGUGCACAUCUUGACGGUACCUAAUCAGAAAGCCACGGCUAACUACGUG